GCAAUGCCGCGUGAGUGAAGAAGGCCUUCGGGUUGUAAAGCUCUUUUGUCAGGGAAGAAACGGUGAAGGCUAAUAUCCCUUACUAAUGACGGUACCUGAAGAAUAAGCACCGGCUAACUACGUGCCAGCAGCCGCGGUAAUACGUAGGGUGCAAGCGUUAAUCGGAAUUACUGGGCGUAAAGCGUGCGCAGGCGGUUUUGUAAGUCUGACGUGAAAUCCCCGGGCUCAACCUGGGAAUUGCGUUGGAGACUGCAAGGCUAGAAUCUGGCAGAGGGGGGUAGAAUUCCACGUGUAGCAGUGAAAUGCGUAGAGAUGUGGAGGAACACCGAUGGCGAAGGCAGCCCCCUGGGUCAAGAUUGACGCUCAUGCACGAAAGCGUGGGGAGCAAACAGGAUUAGAUACCCUGGUAGUCCACGCCCUAAACGAUGUCUACUAGUUGUCGGGUUUUAAUUAACUUGGUAACGCAG
RNAcentral lists this ribosomal RNA (467 nucleotides) under Massilia sp. RNAcentral describes it as "bacterial SSU rRNA". It matches the Rfam family "Bacterial small subunit ribosomal RNA", at positions 391 to 851 of the family's 1533-position model. The record is from RNAcentral. Lineage: Bacteria; Pseudomonadati; Pseudomonadota; Betaproteobacteria; Burkholderiales; Oxalobacteraceae.